Bombus pascuorum is the source of this 725-nucleotide long non-coding RNA. RefSeq lists it as uncharacterized. The transcript is spliced from 2 exons. Lineage: Eukaryota; Metazoa; Arthropoda; Insecta; Hymenoptera; Apidae. The record is from RefSeq and is a predicted model, not a curated record.
GAAGUAAAAUGUUGUGUUUGAUCGAAAGCAGUGCAAAGAUGUAGUGGAUUGUAGAAUGCUGCGUUACGAUUAUAUUCAUUUUUAUUCGAUUAUUUAAUAUUCCGUGGUUUUAUGACAGAAUACGUGCGAAAGAUAUACACAGUGUUAGUAAAUUAUUGGCGUCGUCGUUCUUAAACGUGCCUUUCCAAUCGAUCACGCGUAUCUUGUAAGUAGAUCAUAAAGAUCAUUACUGCAAUUAUCGAAACAUCUACUACUUCCGCUAUUACUUUCUGUCCUAGAAUAUGGUUAUAUUUCGCGGAAAAAUGUUGUUACACAAGUAUUGUAAAUUGCUCCAUAACACAAUCGCUUUUCGUUUCAACGAAUCAGACUAACCAACACGAUAUUCGAUCGAUAACUAUGGUCCAUUAAAAAAGAUUCUGCAAUAGAAAUAUUUUCCAAUCUUUCUUGCUUGCAAUUCGUGUUUCGCAUAAUUUAUGAUUGCAUAGUCGAGACGUGUCUAGCGAGCAACGCCGAUACCACUGUAAACUUAAUCUUCAUGCGAAAGGUCUAAACGCAGUGAUGCAUGACCCUCCGGGUUACCAGAACCUUAACCGCCAGACGUGACUUUAUUACACCACCAUCGAGUAGAUAACCGCAUUCGAAGGAUACCGGAUUCUUGACGUCGACUUGUUAUACACGGUAAAAGUCUCGAUCGCCGUUGUAUUGGCGGAAGGCGAGCGCGACAA